GAGUUUGAUCGUGGCUCAGAUUGAACGCUGGCGGCAUGCCUUACACAUGCAAGUCGAGCGGCAGCGCGGGGGCAACCCUGGCGGCGAGCGGCGAACGGGUGAGUAAUACAUCGGAACGUGUCCAGUAGUGGGGGAUAACCAGUCGAAAGAUUGGCUAAUACCGCAUACGAUCUACGGAUGAAAGCGGGGGACCGCAAGGCCUCGCGCUAUUGGAGCGGCCGAUGUCGGAUUAGCUAGUUGGCGGGGUAAAAGCCCACCAAGGCGACGAUCCGUAGCUGGUCUGAGAGGACGAUCAGCCACACUGGAACUGAGACACGGUCCAGACUCCUACGGGAGGCAGCAGUGGGGAAUUUUGGACAAUGGGGGCAACCCUGAUCCAGCCAUGCCGCGUGAGUGAAGAAGGCCUUCGGUUGUAAGACUCUUUCGGUCCGGGACGAAGUCGCACCUUCUAAUACAAGGUAGUGGAGUGACGGUACCGG
This 479-nucleotide ribosomal RNA is filed under the name uncultured beta proteobacterium. RNAcentral's name for it is "bacterial SSU rRNA". It matches the Rfam family "Bacterial small subunit ribosomal RNA", at positions 9 to 481 of the family's 1533-position model. The record is from RNAcentral. Lineage: Bacteria; Pseudomonadati; Pseudomonadota; Betaproteobacteria.